UACGAAGGGGGCUAGCGUUGCUCGGAAUCACUGGGCGUAAAGGGUGCGUAGGCGGGUUUUUAAGUCAGAGGUGAAAUCCUGGAGCUCAACUCCAGAACUGCCUUCGAUACUGGCGAUCUCGAGUCCGGAAGAGGUGAGUGGAACUCCUAGUGUAGAGGUGGAAUUCGUAGAUAUUAGGAAGAACACCAGUGGCGAAGGCGGCUCACUGGUCCGGUACUGACGCUGAGGUGCGAAAGCGUGGGGAGCAAACAGG
RNAcentral lists this ribosomal RNA (253 nucleotides) under uncultured bacterium. RNAcentral's name for it is "partial 16S ribosomal RNA". It matches the Rfam family "Bacterial small subunit ribosomal RNA", at positions 524 to 776 of the family's 1533-position model. The record is from RNAcentral.